RNAcentral lists this ribosomal RNA (330 nucleotides) under uncultured eukaryote. Its description in RNAcentral is "partial 18S ribosomal RNA". It matches the Rfam family "Eukaryotic small subunit ribosomal RNA", at positions 1470 to 1796 of the family's 1831-position model. The record is from RNAcentral.
CCCUUAGAUGUUCGGGGCCGCACGCGCGCUACACUGAAGGAAUCAGCACGUCUUUCUCCUUGUCCGAAAGGACUGGGUAACCCGCUGAACCUCCUUCGUGCUAGGGAUUGGGGCUUGUAAUUCUUCCCCAUGAACGAGGAAUUCCCAGAAAGCGCGAGUCAUAAGCUCGCGUUGAUUACGUCCCUGCCCUUUGUACACACCGCCCGUCGCUACUACCGAUUGGAUGGUUUAGUGAGAUCCUCGGAUUGGUCCCGGAGCGGCCUCUGGUCGUGCCGGAGUGCCGAAAAGAAUGUCGAACUUGAUCAUCUAGAGGAAGUAAAAGUCGUAACA